Molecule: ribosomal RNA, 478 nt
Filed under: uncultured bacterium
Lineage: Bacteria
Description: partial 16S ribosomal RNA
Rfam family: Bacterial small subunit ribosomal RNA
Source: RNAcentral
GAUGAACGCUGGCGGCGUGCUUAACACAUGCAAGUCGAACGGGAAUUAUUUUAUUGAAACUUCGGUCGAUUUAAUUUAAUUCUAGUGGCGGACGGGUGAGUAACGCGUGGGUAACCUGCCUUAUACAGGGGGAUAACAGUCAGAAAUGGCUGCUAAUACCGCAUAAGCGCACAGAGCUGCAUGGCUCAGUGUGAACAACUCCGGUGGUAUAAGAUGGACCCGCGUUGGAUUAGCUUGUUGGCAGGGUAACGGCCUACCAAGGCGACGAUCCAUAGCCGGCCUGAGAGGGUGAACGGCCACAUUGGGACUGAGACACGGCCCAGACUCCUACGGGAGGCAGCAGUGGGGAAUAUUGCACAAUGGGGGAAACCCUGAUGCAGCGACGCCGCGUGAAGGAAGAAGUAUCUCGGUAUGUAAACUUCUAUCAGCAGGGAAGAUAGUGACGGUACCUGACUAAGAAGCCCCGGCUAACUACGUG